GGAUGUGAGGGUGAUCUGGCCAUGACAUCUGUCACCCCAUUGAUUGCCAGGGUUGAUUCGGCUGAUCUGGCUGGCUAGGCAGGUGUCCCCUUCCUCCUUCACCGCUGCCUGUGUGUCCCUCCCAAAGCUGCAUGCUCUGUCAAAGAGGAUGACCAUUCCCAACAGAGGAGGGCUGGUCUUCAGUCAAGGGUAUACAAGUAGCUGAGCUCCCUUGCUAGAACCUCCAAACAAACUCUCAAGGCCCAUUGUAGGAGAACAUAGGGUAGUCAAGCUUCCAAGGCUCCAGACACAUUCAAAUGGGGCGCUACAUGUGGCAGUCUGCCUUCA
Aotus nancymaae (Ma's night monkey) is the source of this 327-nucleotide unclassified non-coding RNA. Its record names the gene 7SK. It matches the Rfam family "7SK RNA". Rfam says of the family: 7SK was discovered as an abundant small nuclear RNA in the mid-70s but a possible function has only recently been suggested. The record is from Ensembl. NCBI's taxonomy places the organism in Eukaryota, Metazoa, Chordata, Mammalia, Primates, Aotidae.